Pseudophryne corroboree (corroboree frog) is the source of this 1415-nucleotide long non-coding RNA. RefSeq lists it as uncharacterized. The record is from RefSeq and is a predicted model, not a curated record. The transcript is spliced from 3 exons. Lineage: Eukaryota; Metazoa; Chordata; Amphibia; Anura; Myobatrachidae.
GAAAAAGGAAAUUGGGUUCAGAUGAUAUUACACCAUAUAUAUUCUUUGUCUUUUCGUUAUCUAUAUUCUGAGGAUAACAUCACAGAGAACACAAGAUUGGGAGAAAUACAGUGACCAUAAAGAUACAUUUAUGUGCAGAUUUCAAAUGUUGUAGCUGUAAGUUGGGUACGCCCAUCCGUUUGAUUUAUAUAUCACGUGGUGACCCUAUAGAAGGUGGCCCCAUUGAGAAAGUGGUCACAGAGAGGAAAGUAAAAAGAAACCUUUAUGGGAGGAACCUGCUUUACUUUAUUGUGAGUACGGUACAACAUUUUUUCGUUGGCAUUUACACUAUCCAUAGAGAUCCCUCACCCCUGAGAGAGAAAUCUGGACUAUACAAUAUAACACUAUAUAUAUUUUCUUUUGUUUCUCGUUACAUAUACUCUGAGGAAAACACCACGUGAAUAAUCAUACCCAAGGAGGAAGAAUUUCCCAAGAUGAACAUAUAAAUCUACUUACAGAGACUUGUGAACUUUACUAUGGUUGAUGAUGGAUAACAUUGGGAUAUGAGGUAGCGACAGUGGAUUGUCACCAACGGUCAAAGCUUUCAGCCUCCCAGCAUGCAACAGGCCUGUCCCUAUAUCCCCGCCUCCUGGCUCAGUGUUAAUCAUCAAUAAUGAGUAUAUGUUUUUCAAAAUGAAGAAAAGACAAAUAUUCACUUGAAUUGCAUGGCAACAUUCAAACUCUUUUUGAACAAGGCUAUACUCAUCGACAGAUUGCAAAAAACAAAGUAAAAAUGCGGUCUAGUGUAUACAUUAGCUCGAUACAAAGAAACAGGUACAAACGUGACUAAAAAAUGUUAGGGAAAAUAACUACAUUAUUGUAAUGAGUAAUCAAAACCAAAGACUCCCACAGCAACUUCAAUCAAAGAAGAACUCAAUGAAAUUAGGCAAACUCCAGUUGAUACAGUUAAAACAUUUGGGGUUGUAUUUGUGGAGGAAAGGUUGGAGAUUUAGUUUAAAUCACAUCAACUAUGGCUAAGAAAUUAUACUAUAGUAUUGUAGUACACCACACUGUACCAAGUGGAAUUCAAAAUAUUGGAAAGGGGUUCAUCAUGCAACAGGAUAAUAACCCUAAGCACACAUGUAAACUGGGUAUCAAUUUGAAAAGUAAUGAAAGGCAGAAAGUUCUACAAAUUAUGACACGGCCUCCUCAAGUCACUUGAUCUCAAUCCCAUUGAGAAACUCUGGGAUGAAUUGAACAGAAAAGUUUGUGUAAUGGCACCAACAAAUACAAACAAACUUACGGGGCCUGGAAAUGUGUAACUUAUGAAACUUUAGAGAAGUUGAUGUCUCAAAUUCCCAAAUUAUGUGAAGCAAUGAUAUGCGCCAAAGGACAUAUUGAUUAAAGCCAAAUUUAUUCUGAAAUGUAUGUAAUAC